UGCCAGUUGAUGGGGAAGAAAGGAAGU
Molecule: non-coding RNA, 27 nt
Filed under: Homo sapiens (human)
Lineage: Eukaryota; Metazoa; Chordata; Mammalia; Primates; Hominidae
Source: RNAcentral